RNAcentral lists this ribosomal RNA (253 nucleotides) under uncultured bacterium. RNAcentral's name for it is "partial 16S ribosomal RNA". It matches the Rfam family "Bacterial small subunit ribosomal RNA", at positions 524 to 776 of the family's 1533-position model. The record is from RNAcentral.
UACGAAGGGGGCUAGCGUUGUUCGGAAUUACUGGGCGUAAAGCGCGCGUAGGUGGCUUCGUAAGUCCGUUGUGAAAGUCAAAGGCUCAACCUUUGAAAGCCGAUGGAUACUGCGGAGCUAGAGUACGGAAGAGGCGAGUGGAAUUCCUGGUGUAGCGGUGGAAUGCGCAGAUAUCAGGAGGAACACCAAUAGCGAAGGCAGCUCGCUGGGACGUUACUGACACUAAGGCGCGAAAGCGUGGGGAGCGAACAGG